RNAcentral lists this ribosomal RNA (2806 nucleotides) under Alginatibacterium sediminis. RNAcentral describes it as "Alteromonadaceae bacterium ALS 81 23S ribosomal RNA". It matches the Rfam family "Bacterial large subunit ribosomal RNA". Lineage: Bacteria; Pseudomonadati; Pseudomonadota; Gammaproteobacteria; Alteromonadales; Alteromonadaceae. The record is from RNAcentral.
GUUGUAUGGUUAAGUGACUAAGCGUAUACGGUGAAUGCCUUGGCAGUCAGAGGCGAUGAAGGACGUGUUAAUCUGCGAUAAGCCAUGUUAAGUCGAUAAAAGACGUUAUAGACAUGGAUUUCCGAAUGGGGAAACCCACUGCAUUCAGUGCAGUAUCAUAUAGUGAAUACAUAGCUAUAUGAGGCGAACCCGGGGAACUGAAACAUCUAAGUACCCGGAGGAAAAGAAAUCAACCGAGAUUCUGGAAGUAGCGGCGAGCGAAACCGGAUUAGCCCUUAAGCUUAUUAUUGGUUAGUGGAAUGUGUUGGAAAGCACAACGGUACAGGGUGAUAGUCCCGUACAUGAAGACUAAUUUUAAGUGAAAUCGAGUAGGACGGCACACGUGAUAUGUUGUCUGAACAUGGGGGGACCAUCCUCCAAGGCUAAAUACUCCUGACUGACCGAUAGUGAACCAGUACCGUGAGGGAAAGGCGAAAAGAACCCCUGUGAGGGGAGUGAAAUAGAACCUGAAACCGUAUACGUACAAGCAGUAGGAGCCCCCUUGUUGGGUGACUAGCGGAGCCGUAGGGAAACCGAGUGUUAACUGCGCGAAUAGUUGCUGGUAUUAGACCCGAAACCCGGUGAUCUAGCCAUGGGCAGGUUGAAGAUUGGGUAACACCAAUUGGAGGACCGAACCGACUAAUGUUGAAAAAUUAGCGGAUGACUUGUGGCUGGGGGUGAAAGGCCAAUCAAACCGGGAGAUAGCUGGUUCUCCUCGAAAGCUAUUUAGGUAGCGCCUCGGACGAAUACUAGUGGGGGUAGAGCACUGUUAAGGCUAGGGGGUCAUCCCGACUUACCAACCCUUUGCAAACUCCGAAUACCACUAAGUAAUAUCCGGGAGACACACGGCGGGUGCUAACGUCCGUCGUGGAAAGGGAAACAACCCAGACCGUCAGCUAAGGUCCCAAAGUGUAUGUUAAGUGGGAAACGAUGUGGGAAGGCUUAGACAGCCAGGAGGUUGGCUUAGAAGCAGCCACCCUUUAAAGAAAGCGUAAUAGCUCACUGGUCGAGUCGGCCUGCGCGGAAGAUGUAACGGGGCUAAACAUACCACCGAAGCUACGGGCACAUGCUUGGAAGGGGUGCUGGAGGUAUCAGAAGUGCGAAUGUUGACAUGAGUAACGAUAAAGGGGGUGAAAAGCCCCCUCGCCGAAAGACCAAGGUUUCCUGUUCAAUGUUAAUCAGAGCAGGGUGAGUCGGCCCCUAAGGCGAGGCAGAAAUGCGUAGUCGAUGGGAAACAGGUUAAUAUUCCUGUACUUCGUAUAAUUGCGAUGGGAGGACGGAGAAGGCUAGGCUAGCGCGGCGUUGGUUGUCCGCGUUUAAGGUUGUAGGCUGGGAACUUAGGUAAAUCCGGGUUCCUGUUAAGGCUGAGAAUUGAUGACGAGGCUCUACGGAGCUGAAGUAGUUGAUGCCAUGCUUCCAGGAAAAGUCUCUAAGCUUCAGAUUAUACGAAACCGUACCCCAAACCGACACAGGUGGUUGGGUAGAGAAUACCAAGGCGCUUGAGAGAACUCGGGUGAAGGAACUAGGCAAAAUGGUACCGUAACUUCGGGAGAAGGUACGCUCCCGACGGUGAUGAGACUUGCUCUCUAAGCUGUUGGGAGUCGCAGAUACCAGUUGGCUGCAACUGUUUAUUAAAAACACAGCACUGUGCUAAAUCGAAAGAUGACGUAUACGGUGUGACGCCUGCCCGGUGCCGGAAGGUUAAUUGAUGGGGUUAGCGCUUGCGCGAAGCUCUUGAUCGAAGCCCCGGUAAACGGCGGCCGUAACUAUAACGGUCCUAAGGUAGCGAAAUUCCUUGUCGGGUAAGUUCCGACCUGCACGAAUGGCGUAAUGAUGGCCAAGCUGUCUCCACCCGAGACUCAGUGAAAUUGAAAUUGCUGUGAAGAUGCAGUGUACCCGCGGCUAGACGGAAAGACCCCGUGAACCUUUACUACAGCUUGACACUGAACAUUGAACCUACAUGUGUAGGAUAGGUGGGAGGCUUUGAAGCGUUGUCGCUAGAUGACGUGGAGCCAACCUUGAAAUACCACCCUUGUAGUUUUGAUGUUCUAACGUUGGUCCCUUAUCGGGAUUGCGGACAGUGUCUGGUGGGUAGUUUGACUGGGGCGGUCUCCUCCCAAAGAGUAACGGAGGAGCACGAAGGUUGGCUAAGUACGGUCGGACAUCGUACGGUUAGUGCAAUGGCAUAAGCCAGCUUAACUGCGAGACAGACAAGUCGAGCAGGUACGAAAGUAGGUCAUAGUGAUCCGGUGGUUCUGUAUGGAAGGGCCAUCGCUCAACGGAUAAAAGGUACUCCGGGGAUAACAGGCUGAUACCGCCCAAGAGUUCAUAUCGACGGCGGUGUUUGGCACCUCGAUGUCGGCUCAUCACAUCCUGGGGCUGAAGUCGGUCCCAAGGGUAUGGCUGUUCGCCAUUUAAAGUGGUACGCGAGCUGGGUUUAGAACGUCGUGAGACAGUUCGGUCCCUAUCUGCCGUGGGCGUUUGAGAAUUGAAAGGAGCUGCUCCUAGUACGAGAGGACCGGAGUGGACGAACCGCUGGUGUUUGGGUUGUCAUGCCAAUGGCAUUGCCCAGUAGCUACGUUCGGAACAGAUAACCGCUGAAAGCAUCUAAGCGGGAAGCUGGCCUUGAGAUUAAUUCUCACUGGGAAUUUAAUUCCCCUAAAGGGCCGUCAGAGACUAUGACGUUGAUAGGCAGGGUGUGUAAGCGUUGUGAGGCGUUGAGCUAACCUGUACUAAUGACCCGUGAGGCUUAACCAUACAACCCUGA